UACGUAGGGGGCAAGCGUUGUCCGGAUUUAUUGGGCGUAAAGAGCGUGUAGGCGGCCUGGUAGGUCAGCUGUGAAAACUCGAGGCUCAACCUCGAGACGCCGGUUGAAACCAUCAGGCUAGAGUCCGGAAGAGGAGAGUGGAAUUCCCGGUGUAGCGGUGAAAUGCGCAGAUAUCGGGAAGAACACCCGUGGCUAAGGCGGCUCUCUAGUACGGUACUGACGCUGAGACGCGAAAGCGUGGGGAGCAAACAGG
Molecule: ribosomal RNA, 253 nt
Filed under: uncultured bacterium
Lineage: Bacteria
Description: partial 16S ribosomal RNA
Rfam family: Bacterial small subunit ribosomal RNA
Source: RNAcentral